GAUCCUGGCUCAGGAUGAACGCUAGCUACAGGCUUAACACAUGCAAGUCGAGGGGCAGCAUGAACUUAGCUUGCUAAGUUUGAUGGCGACCGGCGCACGGGUGAGUAACACGUAUCCAACCUGCAGAUGACUCGGGGAUAGCCUUUCGAAAGAAAGAUUAAUACACGAUGGCAUAGUUCUUCCGCAUGGUAAAACUAUUAAAGAAUUUCGGUCAUCGAUGGGGAUGCGUUCCAUUAGG
This 238-nucleotide ribosomal RNA is filed under the name uncultured bacterium. Its description in RNAcentral is "partial 16S ribosomal RNA". It matches the Rfam family "Bacterial small subunit ribosomal RNA", at positions 15 to 245 of the family's 1533-position model. The record is from RNAcentral.